AACGAACGCUGGCGGCAUGCCUAACACAUGCAAGUCGAACGAGAACUUCGGGUCUAGUGGCGCACGGGUGCGUAACGCGUGGGAACCUGCCCUUAGGUUCGGAAUAACUCCCCGAAAGGGGUGCUAAUACCGGAGAAUGUCUUCGGGCCAAAGAUUUAUCGCCUUUGGAUGGGCCCGCGUUGGAUUAGCUAGUUGGUAGGGUAAAAGCCUACCAAGGCGACGAUCCAUAGCUGGUCUGAGAGGAUGAUCAGCCACACUGGGACUGAGACACGGCCCAGACUCCUACGGGAGGCAGCAGUGGGGAAUAUUGGACAAUGGGCGAAAGCCUGAUCCAGCAAUGCCGCGUGAGUGAUGAAGGCCUUAGGGUUGUAAAGCUCUUUUACCCGGGAUGAUAAUGACAGUACCGGGAGAAUAAGCUCCGGCUAACUCCGUG
This 433-nucleotide ribosomal RNA is filed under the name uncultured bacterium. RNAcentral's name for it is "partial 16S ribosomal RNA". It matches the Rfam family "Bacterial small subunit ribosomal RNA", at positions 29 to 507 of the family's 1533-position model. The record is from RNAcentral.